UACGGGGGGGGGCAAGCGUUGUUCGGAAUUACUGGGCGUAAAGGGUUCGUAGGUGGCCAACUAAGUCAUACGUGAAAUCCCUCGGCUUAACCGAGGAACUGCCCUCCAAACUGCUUGGCUUGAGUCCGGGAGAGGUGAGUGGAAUUCCCAGUGUAGCGGUGAAAUGCGCAGAUAUCAGGAAGAACACCCGUGGCUAAGGCGGCUCUCUAGUACGGUACUGACGCUGAGACGCGAAAGCGUGGGGAGCGAACAGG
This 254-nucleotide ribosomal RNA is filed under the name uncultured bacterium. RNAcentral's name for it is "partial 16S ribosomal RNA". It matches the Rfam family "Bacterial small subunit ribosomal RNA", at positions 524 to 776 of the family's 1533-position model. The record is from RNAcentral.